RNAcentral lists this ribosomal RNA (253 nucleotides) under uncultured bacterium. RNAcentral's name for it is "partial 16S ribosomal RNA". It matches the Rfam family "Bacterial small subunit ribosomal RNA", at positions 524 to 776 of the family's 1533-position model. The record is from RNAcentral.
UACGUAGGGGGCUAGCGUUGUCCGGAAUCAUUGGGCGUAAAGCGCGCGUAGGCGGCCCGGUAAGUCCGUUGUAAAAGUCAAAGGCUCAACCUUUGAAAGCCGAUGGAUACUGCCGGGCUAGAGUCCGGAAGAGGCGAGUGGAAUUCCUGGUGUAGCGGUGGAAUGCGCAGAUAUCAGGAGGAACACCAAUAGCGAAGGCAGCUCGCUGGGACGGUACUGACGCUAAGGCGCGAAAGCGUGGGGAGCGAACAGG